GACUCAGUGGUUUAAUGGUAAAACGUCUACCACGGAGCUAGGUGGUCCCGGGUUCGAUCGCCGAUGAGGUCG
Molecule: transfer RNA, 72 nt
Filed under: Schistosoma japonicum
Lineage: Eukaryota; Metazoa; Platyhelminthes; Trematoda; Strigeidida; Schistosomatidae
Description: tRNA-OTHER
Source: RNAcentral